RNAcentral lists this ribosomal RNA (253 nucleotides) under uncultured bacterium. RNAcentral's name for it is "partial 16S ribosomal RNA". It matches the Rfam family "Bacterial small subunit ribosomal RNA", at positions 524 to 776 of the family's 1533-position model. The record is from RNAcentral.
UACGGAGGGUGCAAGCGUUAUCCGGAUUCACUGGGUUUAAAGGGUGCGUAGGAGGGCAGGUAAGUCAGUGGUGAAAUCUCCAAGCUUAACUUGGAACUGCCGUUGAUACUAUCUGUCUUGAAUAUUGUGGAGGUGAGCGGAAUAUGUCAUGUAGCGGUGAAAUGCUUAGAUAUGACAUAGAACACCUAUUGCGAAGGCAGCUUACUACGCAGAUAUUGACGCUCAUGCACGAAAAGCGUGGGGAUCAAACAGG